CACAUCUCUCAGGGGAGGAGGAUCGCGACCCGUCUGUAUAGAUAUAUAUCCAGUUUCGGAAUUCAUUACGAAUUGGACUGCUAGUCGAAUGGAAAAGCAAAUAGGAAGUGGAUGUUCGAUGAUUCUAUCUUGAUAUCUCCUGGAGGCUAACCAGUUUGAAAAAAGAAAAGUCUUCUGGAACAGAGCCGGAAUUGUAGAACCCUUCAAGUAGGCCACGGAGAAUUUCAAGAGCUUCAGUAGGUAAGUUUUUGAACAAAUUG
This is a long non-coding RNA of Cephus cinctus (wheat stem sawfly), 260 nucleotides long. RefSeq lists it as uncharacterized. The record is from RefSeq and is a predicted model, not a curated record. NCBI's taxonomy places the organism in Eukaryota, Metazoa, Arthropoda, Insecta, Hymenoptera, Cephidae. The transcript is spliced from 3 exons.